RNAcentral lists this ribosomal RNA (356 nucleotides) under uncultured Bacteroidota bacterium. Its description in RNAcentral is "bacterial SSU rRNA". It matches the Rfam family "Bacterial small subunit ribosomal RNA", at positions 138 to 494 of the family's 1533-position model. The record is from RNAcentral. Lineage: Bacteria; Pseudomonadati; Bacteroidota.
GGGGUAUAGCCUUUAGAAAUGAAGAUUAAUCCCCCAUAGUCUCUUAGAGUGGCAUCACUUCUAGAGUAAAGGUUACGGUAUAAGAUGAGUAUGCGUUCUAUUAGUUUGUUGGUGUGGUAACGGCACACCAAGACUACGAUAGAUAGGGGCCCUGAGAGGGGGAUCCCCCACACUGGUACUGAGACACGGACCAGACUCCUACGGGAGGCAGCAGUGAGGAAUAUUGGACAAUGGAGGCAACUCUGAUCCAGCCAUGCCGCGUGCAGGAAGACUGCCCUAUGGGUUGUAAACUGCUUUUAUACAGGAAGAAACACCUCUACGUGUAGAGGCUUGACGGUACUGUAAGAAUAAGGAUC